Molecule: long non-coding RNA, 935 nt
Organism: Silurus meridionalis
Lineage: Eukaryota; Metazoa; Chordata; Actinopteri; Siluriformes; Siluridae
Exons: 3
Source: RefSeq, a predicted model, not a curated record
AGUUUGAGUGACAGGUGAGGUCGUCACGUGACUGCGCCGUAUUCCAAAUAACAAUUCUCACUGCGUUUGUUUUUUAAUAAAGUAUACACUUGUGCGGUAUUUAGUAUAAUAUUGUGGCGUUUGUAACACAGCCGUUAUUAAAUUGGAAAACAAACGGAGAAGGAAACGGUCACUUUCGGAGAAGUUUUAAUUCCUUGGAAGAAACACAGAGGAGGAAAAAAGUGGGUGAAACGAGAAAAAAGAUGUUAAUUCACUAGGACAAAGCUUCGUCGUUCUCAGCUUCAACGAAUCGUUCCUCGCCUCAUUUGGAGUUAGACCUCACAGUCGGAUGCUGUUUGUUAAACACGACUCAUCCCAGUCUCUCCGCCGCUACCGGGCCUGCCGUUGCCAUGACGACACUCGGUCGUCACAGUGUCUAGACGGCGGAUGACACCUGACACCGCAUCCCACUGGGCUGAGGAACACUGAGGACACUGAGGGAAGCUAAGGUUGCUUGUUCCAACCUGAACAGGAAGGGGAAGAACUAGGGGAUCAGGUUGAAACCCAAUAGGGGGGUUGGAGUGGGGGUCACUGGUCGAGGAGAGGCUCUCGAGGUGUCACUUCCACGGAGACACAGCUGGCCUGAACAAGAUUCUCAUCAGUGGACAAACAAGAGAAGCAAGCUGGUGUCAGCCUCGAGUCCCUUUUCAGCCAUCUCACUUUUCGUUAAUCAUCAACUCUGUUGAUAAGAAGCCGUUUUCUUACAAUUAUACACUAAUGAAUUUAGCUCCAGACAGUGCUGUUUGCAAUUAGACUCGGAGAAUGUCAUGUAAUUUCACCAGAAAAGCAAACAUGCCAUUGCUGGUGAUCCCUUCAACCAGCUUUUUCAUGUUUUUUAUUGUUUAUUUUUCUCUCAGUCUCUGCUCUGUGUUUCAUAAACAUUCUCCCAUGUCUCA